RNAcentral lists this ribosomal RNA (490 nucleotides) under uncultured bacterium. Its description in RNAcentral is "bacterial SSU rRNA". It matches the Rfam family "Bacterial small subunit ribosomal RNA", at positions 28 to 553 of the family's 1533-position model. The record is from RNAcentral.
UUGGAACGCUGGCGGCAUGGCUAAAACAUGCAAGUCGAGCGCGAAAGGGGCUUCGGCCCCGAGUAGAGCGGCGAAAGGGUGAGUAACACGUUCCUACGUGCCUUGAGGUCAGGGAUAGCCAGGGGAAACUCUGGGUAAUACCUGAUGUGGUCUCCGGAUCAAAGGCUUGCCGCCUCAAGAGCGGGGAACGUCCUAUCAGGUUGUUGGUGAGGUAACGGCUCACCAAGCCUUCGACGGGUAGCGGGUGUGAGAGCAUGGCCCGCCACAUCGGAACUGAGACACUGUCCGGACUCCUACGGGAGGCUGCAGUAACGAAUCUUCCGCAAUGCGCGAAAGCGUGAUGGAGCAAUGCCGCGUGCAGGAUGAAGCCCUCGGGGCGUAAACUGCUGUCAGGGGUUAGCAACACAAUGAGCAGCCCCAAAGGAAGAGACGACUAACUCUGUGCCAGCAGUCGCGGUAAUACAGAGGUCUCGAGCGUUCAACGGAUUCU